This 468-nucleotide ribosomal RNA is filed under the name uncultured bacterium. RNAcentral describes it as "partial 16S ribosomal RNA". It matches the Rfam family "Bacterial small subunit ribosomal RNA", at positions 28 to 507 of the family's 1533-position model. The record is from RNAcentral.
GACGAACGCUGGCGGCGUGCUUAACACAUGCAAGUCGAACGGAAAGGCCCUGCUUUUGUGGGGUGCUCGAGUGGCGAACGGGUGAGUAACACGUGAGUAACCUGCCCUUGACUUUGGGAUAACUUCAGGAAACCGGCGCUAAUACCGGAUAGGAGCUCCUGCUGCAUGGUGGGGGUUGGAAAGUUUCGGCGGUUGGGGAUGGACUCGCGGCUUAUCAGCUUGUUGGUGGGGUAGUGGCUUACCAAGGCUUUGACGGGUAGCCGGCCUGAGAGGGUGACCGGCCACAUUGGGACUGAGAUACGGCCCAGACUCCUACGGGAGGCAGCAGUGGGGAAUAUUGCACAAUGGGCGGAAGCCUGAUGCAGCAACGCCGCGUGCGGGAUGACGGCCUUCGGGUUGUAAACCGCUUUCGCCUGUGACGAAGCGUGAGUGACGGUAAUGGGUAAAGAAGCACCGGCUAACUACGUG